RNAcentral lists this ribosomal RNA (393 nucleotides) under uncultured bacterium. Its description in RNAcentral is "partial 16S ribosomal RNA". It matches the Rfam family "Bacterial small subunit ribosomal RNA", at positions 523 to 918 of the family's 1533-position model. The record is from RNAcentral.
AUACGGAGGAUGCGAGCGUUAUCCGGAUUUAUUGGGUUUAAAGGGUGCGCAGGCGGGAGAUUAAGUCGGCGGUGAAAUUUUUCAGCUCAACUGGAAAAGUGCCUUCGAAACUGGUUUCCUUGAGUGUAGAUGAAGUAGGCGGGAUUUGUGGGGUUGCGGUGAAAUGCAUAGAUAUCACGAGGAACUCCGAUUGCGCAGGCAGCUUACUAAACUACUACUGACGCUCAGGCACGAAGGCGUGGGGAUCAAACAGGAUUAGAUACCCUGGUAGUCCACGCAGUAAACGAUGAUUACUAGCUGUUUGCGAUACAAUGUAAGCGGCUGAGCGAAAGCGUUAAGUAAUCCACCUGGGGAGUACGUUCGCAAGAAUGAAACUCAAAUGAAUUGGCGGGG